Molecule: long non-coding RNA, 451 nt
Organism: Rhinolophus ferrumequinum (greater horseshoe bat)
Lineage: Eukaryota; Metazoa; Chordata; Mammalia; Chiroptera; Rhinolophidae
Exons: 2
Source: RefSeq, a predicted model, not a curated record
CUCGGCUCAGAACCAAAUCCACAAACCCAGUUGGUGAUGCGGAGGGGCAUACCGCGGAGUAGUGCACCGAACGCCCGGCGCUGCAGACCCUGUUCCGGCCACCUGGCUGGAUCCCCGCCAGCCUGCGCUCUGCGAGGGGCGGACAGAGGCCUUUCGGACCCCGCAGAGCUGCGAGGAGACAAAAGGCUUGAGGCCGAGGUUCUGUCUGGAGUCGCAUCUGCGCACUUGGAGGCAACCGCGCCAGGUCGGGGGUCUUGGCGAAAGGACUCCACUUCCCAGAGGGCUCGGGGACACCGGUGCCUAUCCUUGGGGACCACGCUGACUGUCCUCGGGGAGUGGCUGCAGAGCCAGGGGAGAGAACUGCGGGCUUUCACUGUCAGCCCUAAAAUGGAGAUAAUUCCCCACCUGUUAGGUCUGCUUUCUGAAUAAAAGUAGAAGCUGCCGUUUUAAA